AUGCUGAUGCAGCAGCUUUACCUGAUCCUGCCAGACACGGAGCUGGGCUGCAGCCAGACCUGGUGGCCAGAGCCCUUUUUUUUUUUCCCCAUAGAGGAAAGGACUCUUGCUCUCCCCACCCCAGAUCCCCUUGGUCGGUUGGCACGAUGCUGCUCUGCAAUCCACACUCCAGAAGCAGGAGCAGUCCUUACAACUGUCAAAGUUGAAGAGCUUUCCAGCCUACGAGCUCGUAGAGUCCCCCGCCAUCCCAUAAUGCUGGGUGCAAGCUGGGACGAGCUCGGGGCAGCUCUGUCCCUUUCUCCUCUCAGGAUGCACAGGGGGAAAUGUCCCCACUUUGUGCUGGGCUGGCAGGGAUGGAGGCCUUUGGGGGUGCCAUGGGUGCACUGCAGGACGCUGUAGGGAAUGGUGGGGAAGACCAACCCGUUUGAACCCGGUUCUAUGGGCACCAGGAAGGUCUCGCUGUGCUCUGUCCCCAUGGGUUUUUGGUUCAGCUGGCCGCCUGCUGCUGCGCUGCCCAUCGUGGCGAGCAGGGCAUUGCUCCCCAUAGAGAAAUGACGGCGGGGCCGGGGAUCCUUUGUGUUCUGUGCGUGGUAACCCGAAACAAUGAGGGAUUCCUUUCUGCUCCUGGCACACACGUGCUGGGCGGCAGCCUCAUGCCAUGCGGAACGAGCUGGAACUCAAAUGCACUUUUCAGGAUCCCCCUGCUCCCAGCCAGAACAUCACCCUGCCUUAAAUCCCCAUCUCCAGGCUAAGAAAGCAUUGAAAUUCGCUCCCUGUUGGUGAUGUACGUUCCCUUCCCCAGACCGGGCGGCAGAGCAGGGCGGUGCUCUCUGCUUUCCGUGCCCCCCAGCCCAUCCUUCCUCCAGUUCAGUUCUUUCCUCCCAGCUACGAGAUCGAAUCUGGCCUUGCUUUCUCUCUCUGCUCCCCAAAGAAAUCCCUGCACCCCCCAAAAGGUGCCAGCUGACGAGCAGCUGUACUGCAAAAGGGACACUGCAGCCAGAACGCUGCUGUUCUGUUUUGAAUUCAGUCUUUUGGAGCUCUCUCCGUGCUAGGAUAUUUUUAUUUUCUUUGUACAACAUACAAUCAUGUACUCUUAACAGAGAUUUACUUUAAAGAGAAGAAGAAGAAAAAGAUAAAUCUGGAAGUAUUCUUUAAAAAAAAAAAAAAGAAAAGAAAAUACGCAAAAAUCUUUAUUAAUAAUCCUGUAUUUUUACUGAUCAUGUUUGAAUGUCUAAAAAAGACUUUAUUGUUCUAAUUAUCCAGAUGUAUGUUUGUAAAAUAGCUCUUUUAUGACUUAGCUGAUAAGGUUGUAUGUUUCUGGAAUUAAAUAUUGGUCACUUAAAAAAAAAAAAGAAAAGAAAAAAAGAGAAAUCUUGUUUUCAGGAUCUGGGAAAUAGAAAAAUUUACGCGUUUCAAAUAUCAUUAAAUAAGCUUAAAGGAAAUGCGCUCUGAGUGCUGGGUGAUUUUUUUUUUUUUGGGGGGGGGGUGGCUUUGUUGUAUUUGCUUGAAGCACUCGGCUGCUGUCCCCGUGGGCAGGGGGAGCUUCCCUUGGGUACCAGGGCUCCUCGGGAGCUGUGGGUGCUGCUGAGGACGGGGCUGUGCCGCUCUCUGGGUCAGCAGCGCUCGCACCGAGCGUCCCAUGGGCGCCGGGUGGGAUUGGGGAGGGGGAUCUGCGGUGCACGUCCCACUUGGGUACCCCAGGAGCUGCCUGUAUGCGGCCUCUCAACGCAGCUCGCUGUUGCCGGUCGUCAUUUUUAAGCCUUGCUGGAUGCAUUUCUCCCCUUGCAGCAUCGCUGCUCGGCUGGAAGCCUGCAGCUCUGUGUCACCAUCCUGCUGGGCUUCCAGGGGGUUUGCUCUCGAGGCGCGGGGCACAGCCCCAGCGGGGACGCUGCAGGAGCAGGGUGCUCCCUUCUGCUUUUCCUUUCGUCCUGCGGCGUGCCUGGGAAGUUUCUGGAGAGGUUGCGGUGUUGUAAUUGGUAAUCAGAGCCCUAUUAUUCUUUCCUAACGACGCCGCUCGUGUUUUGCCUGUUUGAGUGCUAUUUUAUAUAUUCCCUUCGUUGCGCUGCUGUAAAUAAAGGGUUCCACGUAAGCA
Long non-coding RNA from Numida meleagris (helmeted guineafowl), 2092 nucleotides. The record is from Ensembl. NCBI's taxonomy places the organism in Eukaryota, Metazoa, Chordata, Aves, Galliformes, Numididae.